AACUAUAUGAAUUACAAACAUUUUGCUAAUAUGAAGGUUGGGAAAAACUGCUUCAAGGAAUUCAUUCCCUGCUAAGAACCUCCUAUCUUGAGCAAAAAAAAAAAAAAAAAAAAGGAAUGAAGCAUGCAGGAAUUUUAUUCAUUAUGAAAGGUGGGAACUAUCUAGAAACUCUUACCUGAGCCCCUGUAACAAAAGACCAAUUAUAAUUCUGCAGUUGACUAAAAGCUAUGCUAAAUCACAGGAUUUGCCUCAUACAUAGGCCUAGCCAUUGUCCACGCUGCAGACUCUUAAGAAGAGCUUAACAGAAGUGUGUACAAAAGGUCUUUCCUCAUAAAUACAUACAGUGGAUCUGGAUUCCAUGCAGUCAGAUCCAGAGUGGAUAAUAUGGUGGCAGCCACCCCUGCAUAAGAGACACAGAAGGCACCUCCCACGCUGGUUAACUAUUGAAAAAGCACCACUGAAAGCACAGAAAAUUAAAACUGAUGGCUGCUGCCAAAACUGGUAUCAAGCAACUUCCCUUCUACACUGAAUAGCUGUAGCUCUAUGGCAUAGCAUGGGCUUUCCAUGCAGAAAUUUGAGACCACACUGUGCCAGAACGGUGCAGCAUCACCUCUGAACACUGAUGUGAACUCAAUCCCAUCUCCAGAAGAAAAGACUGACACUUCAAAGCAGGCAGUUAUUCUCAUGAAAUUCAAAGAUAACUGUUAAAGCUUUGGAUAAGGAUGCAGAGCUCUGUGUAAUGAAGACAAGGAAGAUAUUGGAAGGAAACAGUAAUCACUUGGGGUUUCUCCCCUGAAAGAUGUCUUCACAUUCCUAAUAGAAUAAUUAAUUCUCAUGCAUCACUGCUCAUUAGCACCCUCUGUUAAAUGCUUGGUAUCUCUAGGUAAGCCUGGGCAAAAGUCCUUUUUGCCACUCUUGAGAUCCACUCUGAUCAGCUGAGACCAAGUAUAAGCAAUCUGGUACCCUCCAGAUGUUUCUGGGAUACAACUCCAAUAGUUUCUGACCAUUAGCUACAGCUUCUAGGAGCUGCAGUUGUAAAACAGGUGUUCUCAAUGUGGUGCCCAGAGGGUUCUUCAGUGGUACUCAUGAAGUUCUGCCUCCCUGCACCCUUAAAAAAACACCCUAAGAAAUGGAAGUGCAAUCUUCUCUCCCUUUGUCGCGUCUAGCCUUAUUCUUCUCUCUCCUCUAUACUCUGCCUUGCUGUUUUCCCCUUUCCCUUCCAGUCUCUAGCCUUGCUAUUUCUCUUCUCCACUAUUGCCUUUUUGGGGCACACUUUACUAGUCAGCCCUCACAGCAGUGUUGGGUCAAAUUCAGAUUGUUCUAAUGCAUGGGUCCUCAAACUAUGGCCCGCGGGACGGAUCCGGCCCGCCAUGGCCAUCCAUCUGGCCCAUGCCGCCGUUUGCCUCCUGCGUGCUUGCUGCGCAGGCAGGGAGGUGGUGGC
Varanus komodoensis (Komodo dragon) is the source of this 1441-nucleotide long non-coding RNA. RefSeq lists it as uncharacterized. The transcript is spliced from 3 exons. The record is from RefSeq and is a predicted model, not a curated record. Lineage: Eukaryota; Metazoa; Chordata; Lepidosauria; Squamata; Varanidae.